UAGAUGAGGUGGUUGAGAGGCCAGAUCUGGAAGAGGAGAAAUGCUUUAAGGUGACUGGAAAUAAAUUUACCGAGUAAUAACA
RNAcentral lists this ribosomal RNA (82 nucleotides) under Corynebacterium diphtheriae. Its description in RNAcentral is "partial 23S ribosomal RNA". The record is from RNAcentral. Lineage: Bacteria; Bacillati; Actinomycetota; Actinomycetes; Mycobacteriales; Corynebacteriaceae.